GAUGAACGCUGGCGGCGUGCCUAAUACAUGCAAGUCGAGCGAACAGACGAGGAGCUUGCCCCUCUGACGUUAGCGGCGGACGGGUGAGUAACACGUGGAUAACCUACCUAUAAGACUGGGAUAACUUCGGGGAACCGGAGCUAAUACCGGAUAAUAUAUUGAACCGCAUGGUUCAAUAGUGAACGACGGUUUUGCUGUCACUUAUAGAUGGAUCCGCGCCGCAUUAGCUAGUUGGUAAGGUAACGGCUUACCAAGGCGACGAUGCGUAGCCGACCUGAGAGGGUGAUCGGCCACACUGGAACUGAGACACGGUCCAGACUCCUACGGGAGGCAGCAGUAGGGAAUCUUCCGCAAUGGGCGAAAGCCUGACGGAGCAACGCCGCGUGUGUGAUGAAGGUCUUCGGAUCGUAAAACUCUGUUAUUAGGGAAGAACAAAUGUGUAAGUAACUAUGCACGUCUUGACGGUACCUAAUCAGAAAGCCCCGGCUAACUACGUG
Molecule: ribosomal RNA, 497 nt
Filed under: uncultured bacterium
Lineage: Bacteria
Description: partial 16S ribosomal RNA
Rfam family: Bacterial small subunit ribosomal RNA
Source: RNAcentral